AGUUGUACAGAUGUCACAUUUUAUAAUUUAUGUUAAAAGUCACAUCAUGUACAACAGG
RNAcentral lists this microRNA precursor (58 nucleotides) under Sarcophilus harrisii (Tasmanian devil). RNAcentral's name for it is "Sha-Mir-7371-o25_pre stem-loop". Lineage: Eukaryota; Metazoa; Chordata; Mammalia; Dasyuromorphia; Dasyuridae. The record is from RNAcentral.